This 72-nucleotide transfer RNA is filed under the name Bos taurus (domestic cattle). It matches the Rfam family "tRNA". From Rfam's summary of the family: Transfer RNA (tRNA) molecules are approximately 80 nucleotides in length. Their secondary structure includes four short double-helical elements and three loops (D, anti-codon, and T loops). The record is from Rfam by way of RNAcentral. RNAcentral also lists the same sequence under 5 other names. Lineage: Eukaryota; Metazoa; Chordata; Mammalia; Artiodactyla; Bovidae.
UCCCUGGUGGCUCAGACAGUAAAGAAUCUGCCUGAAAUGCAGGAGACCCGGGUUCGAUCCCUGGGUUGGGAG